RNAcentral lists this small nuclear RNA (74 nucleotides) under Fukomys damarensis (Damara mole-rat). Lineage: Eukaryota; Metazoa; Chordata; Mammalia; Rodentia; Bathyergidae. The record is from RNAcentral.
AAAAAAAACAGAGUAGAUUAGCAUGGCCCCUGGGCAAGGAUGGCAUGCAAAUUCAUAAAGCAUUCCAUAUUUUU